This is a long non-coding RNA of Heterocephalus glaber (naked mole-rat), 552 nucleotides long. The record is from Ensembl. Lineage: Eukaryota; Metazoa; Chordata; Mammalia; Rodentia; Bathyergidae.
GGUGGCAGGCCUUUGAGUGCUCCUCCUGUGCCUCUGCUCCUGGGGACCCAGGCUCUGCCUGCAAGCCAGACGUGGGUAUGCAUCUGGAGCAAGCAGGAAGUCCUUCAUGAAGUGGGAGGAAAUGAUCUUUGAGGGUUCAAUCCUGGGCCUUAGCAAAAUGUCUUGGAUUCCAGGGGCGUGUCUUGAGCCCAAUGCUCUGACUUGCUCCAAGCCUCUGUUAGUUCCUGCAGCCCUGAGCCCAUGCUAGCUUGGCUCUGUAACAGAACUGCAAGCAAGAGUCCUACACCAGGAGCCAGAAGAUUUUGGUUCCUGCAGCUCUUCCAAGAAGCCAAAGCGACCUUCCCUUUCUGGCUGUCAAUUUCUCGCUACAUCAAAUGACUGGGUCAAGUUAGAGGGUCAAUUAGCUUUAUUUUUUAAUUAGUAUAUACUUGCUGUAUAUAGUGAUCACAUUCAUCAUAGGGAAUUUGUACAUGAUAUUUUUACAUGAUAUAUCUUGAUUCUUCUUUUCUUCCCCAUUCCCCUCUCCUCCCUUUGACCCUUUUUCCCCUCCCC